UAGAGUUUGAUCCUGGCUCAGAUUGUACGCUGGCGGCAGGCCUAACACAUGCAAGUCGAGCGGCAGCGACAACAUUGAACCUUCGGGGGAUUUGUUGGGCGGCGAGCGGCGGACGGGUGAGUAAUGCCUGGGAAAUUGCCCUGAUGUGGGGGAUAACCAUUGGAAACGAUGGCUAAUACCGCAUGAUAGCUUCGGCUCAAAGAGGGGGACCUUCGGGCCUCUCGCGUCAGGAUAUGCCCAGGUGGGAUUAGCUAGUUGGUGAGGUAAGGGCUCACCAAGGCGACGAUCCCUAGCUGGUCUGAGAGGAUGAUCAGCCACACUGGAACUGAGGCACGGUCCAGACUCCUACGGGAGGCAGCAGUGGGGAAUAUUGCACAAUGGGCGCAAGCCUGAUGCAGCCAUGCCGCGUGUAUGAAGAAGGCCUUCGGGUUGUAAAGUACUUUCAGCAGUGAGGAAGGAGGUAUUGUUAAUAGCGGUAUCUUUUGACGUUAGCUGCAGAAGAAGCACCGGCUAACUCCGUGCCAGCAGCCGCGGUAAUACGGAGGGUGCGAGCGUUAAUCGGAAUUACUGGGCGUAAAGCGCAUGCAGGUGGUUUGUUAAGUCAGAUGUGAAAGCCCGGGGCUCAACCUCGGAAUUGCAUUUGAAACUGGCAGGUUAGAGUACUGUAGAGGGGGGUAGAAUUUCAGGUGUAGCGGUGAAAUGUCGUAGAGAUCUGAAGGAAUACCGGUGGCGAAGGCGGCCCCCUGGACAGAUACUGACACUCAGAUGCGAAAGCGUGGGGAGCAAACAGGAUUAGAUCCCCUGGUAGUCCACGCCGUAAACG
Molecule: ribosomal RNA, 823 nt
Filed under: uncultured bacterium
Lineage: Bacteria
Description: bacterial SSU rRNA
Rfam family: Bacterial small subunit ribosomal RNA
Source: RNAcentral